Artibeus jamaicensis (Jamaican fruit-eating bat) is the source of this 208-nucleotide small nucleolar RNA. RefSeq annotates it as small nucleolar RNA U3. The record is from RefSeq and is a predicted model, not a curated record. The transcript has a single exon. Lineage: Eukaryota; Metazoa; Chordata; Mammalia; Chiroptera; Phyllostomidae.
CAGACUAUACUUUCAGGGAUCGUUUCUGUAGUUUGCUGCUAGAGGGGUCUCUCUGAGUGCACAGAGUGCCCCAAACCACGAGGAGGAGGCGUAGCCUUCUCUCCCGAGUGUGAAGCCAGCCUUCGGUGUUGCUCUUGCAACUGCUGGUGACCAGUGAUGGUUGUUCUUCUCUUCCUUUGGGGGCGGGGGAGGGUGCAGUCUGCGUGGU